UUGUCCCUUCUCUCUCCUGCAAGUGCUGGUGAUCUCCUCGCCAUGCAGUGGGCUCCCCUCCUUGUCCUGCUGGGGACGUGGUGCACAGGUGCCAGAUCACAGUCUGUGCUCACUCAGCCGCCCGCAGAGUCAGUGUCCUUAGGAAACACUGUGAAACUCUCCUGCACCGUGAGCAGUGGGACCAGCAUCAGUGACUACAAUGUGUACUGGUACCAGCAGAAACCUGGGACCCCCCCUCGGUACCUGCUGAGAUACAAGUCCAAUUCUGACAAGCACCAGGGCUCCGGGGUCCCCGCUCGCUUCUCUGGCUCCAAAGACACGUCCAGUAACACUGGGGCUACGCUGCCCAUCACUGGAGUCCAAGCCCAGGAUGAAGCUGUUCAUUACUGCCAAGUGUGGGACAGCAGCACUUUCCACAGUGGACAAACUGCUCACAUCACGUGCAAUGGAGAGAAGCUUAACAAGAAGUAUGAACACUGGUACCAGCAGAAACCUGGCAGCGUCCCCCGACUUCUUAUAUACAAGGAUCAAGAGAGAGCCUCUGAUGUCCCUGACUGA
Non-coding RNA from Alligator sinensis (Chinese alligator), 558 nucleotides. NCBI's taxonomy places the organism in Eukaryota, Metazoa, Chordata, Crocodylia, Alligatoridae. The record is from the annotation of a RefSeq genome assembly.